AGUGAACGCUGGCGGCGUGCUUAACACAUGCAAGUCGAACGAGAACGGAUUAUAGCUUGCUAUAAUUGUCAGCUAAGUGGCGCACGGGUGAGUAAUAUAUAGGUAAUGUGCCCUAGAGAAGAGGAUAACAGUUGGAAACGACUGCUAAGACUCUAUAUGCCUUUAAGACAGAAGUCUGCAAGGGAAAUAUUUAUAGCUCUAGGAUCAGCCUGUACAGUAUCAGUUAGUUGGUGAGGUAAUGGCUCACCAAGACAAUGACACUUAACUGGUUUGAGAGGAUGAUCAGUCACACUGGAACUGGAAGACACGGUCCAGACGUCCUACGGG
This 327-nucleotide ribosomal RNA is filed under the name uncultured bacterium. Its description in RNAcentral is "bacterial SSU rRNA". It matches the Rfam family "Bacterial small subunit ribosomal RNA", at positions 29 to 345 of the family's 1533-position model. The record is from RNAcentral.